This 409-nucleotide ribosomal RNA is filed under the name uncultured bacterium. RNAcentral describes it as "bacterial SSU rRNA". It matches the Rfam family "Bacterial small subunit ribosomal RNA", at positions 355 to 774 of the family's 1533-position model. The record is from RNAcentral.
UCGAGGAUCUUCGGCAAUGGGCGCAAGCCUGACCGAGCGAUGCCGCGUGUGCGACGAAGGCCUUCGGGUUGUAAAGCACUGUCGAGAGGGAGAAAAGCGAAAGCUUGAUCUAUCUCUGGAGGAAGGGCGGGCUAAGUUCGUGCCAGCAGCCGCGGUAAGACGAACCGCCCGAACGUUAUUCGGAAUCACUGGGCUUAAAGGGAGCGUAGGCGGGCCACCAAGUCCGGGGUGAAAUCCUCCAGCUUAACUGGAGAACUGCCUCGGAUACUGGAGGUCUUGAGGAGGAUAGGGGCAAGUGGAACCGUGGGUGGAGCGGUGAAAUGCGUUGAUAUCCAUGGGAACUCCGGUGGCGAAGGCGACUUGCUGGAUCCUUUCUGACGCUGAGGCUCGAAAGCCAGGGGAGCAAACG